UACCUUUCUUCAAGUUUCGUG
Molecule: non-coding RNA, 21 nt
Filed under: Caenorhabditis elegans
Lineage: Eukaryota; Metazoa; Nematoda; Chromadorea; Rhabditida; Rhabditidae
Source: RNAcentral